CGACCCCAGGUCAGGCGGGAUUACCCGUUGAGUUGGA
RNAcentral lists this ribosomal RNA (37 nucleotides) under Orthosiphon aristatus. RNAcentral's name for it is "partial 28S ribosomal RNA". Lineage: Eukaryota; Viridiplantae; Streptophyta; Magnoliopsida; Lamiales; Lamiaceae. The record is from RNAcentral.